UAAAAUAUUAGCUCAAUUGCUAUCAGAUCCGCCCGAAAAUCCUUUCUUUUACCCUAUCCAAAGCCCAUGCCCACUCGCCAUUGUAUAUUGACCUAAUUCCCCAUUCUCAAAGAAGAGAUAAGAACAGAUCCCCCUUUACAAAACCCUAGCCGUCAACCCCAUCCCCAAUUCCCAUUGAAACGAGACCCCUCCCUUUAACAACCAAAAACCAAGUUGCCUGCCUCCCACUCGUCGCUCUCUCACAUGCACCUCACGCACACACACACUCAAUCGCACACGCCUGAGCUUGCUAAAAAAAACUUGCAACAAAAAGAUCCGAGCUCUAUGAAACUUCAAACAAAGAGAAAAAAAUCAUUAAAAAAAAAAGAUUAAGAGGAUGUUCAAAAUUUUUGCUACAUGGCUUGAUCGUUUUUGGGUUUCUAAAGCUGUUAGAGUUGAAGAGCUGCCGUACUUCUGCUGUUUUCAUGUUGCUUUGCUGAUUUCCAGCUUGUCCAUUUGGCCUUUAUUGGAUUUUGCCUUCCUCAAAAGUCAAUUCUAGCCCAACUAGGUAUGCUCUCUUACGUCUGAAUUUUUCCAGAUCUGGUUUAAUAUAAAAUCAUGACUACUUCACUUUAUUUGUUAUUGCUAUUUAGAUUUGACUGCCUUGAGUUGGUUUCAGUGAGAAUAAAAUGCUAGCCAAUUUAUUGAAAAAAUGCGAUUUGCUGUGACUCAAUUCAUUUGUCAUUAAAUAUUGAUUUAGACUGAUAUCUCUUUGAUUUACACUAGAUCUGUUAAAAUCAGGUGAUUUGUUUUAAAAGGGGAGUUCAUAUUAAAGGAUCAAUAUCUGCAGCAGUAGCAGAAGCAGAAUGAGUAGAAUUUGAAAGUUAGGGCUUAGUUAUUACUGUAAAAUGGUUAUACCGGUAAUGUCUAGAGAUGACUAUCUUUGUAACAGGAUAUAAGUGUAAAGAAAAUAGAUUGUUUCCAAUCUAGGUUCGUCCCAGUAACCUUGGGGAAUGGAUGUAAGGUUAAAUAUUAGUGCUUAGUUACGCAACAAUUUAAUUCAAAAUAAUCAAUUCCAUUUUAUAUAUAUCCCAAUGCCUAUCCAUAAUUUAUGACUUCAUUAACGUUAAAGCAAUUUAAGGAAACAAUCUUUGGAUAUUCGCAGCAUGCAGCAGCCACGUCUUAAUCUAUUAUCGUGAUUGUGUACACGUUCACGUGACAUAAUUAUGAUUUUUCAAAAUAAAUCAAAGUACGCGUUCGUGCGAAUUUAGAAAAAUAAUCUUAAUAAUAAUAAAGUGUUAUUAAUUGUGUACACGUAUGUGUGACAUGAUUCUGAACACACCAAAUAAAAAGAGUACACAUAAACGUGACUUGUUUCAAGAUAAUUCCAUAAUCACAAAUAAUCAAGCAAUUAAAAGCGGUAAAAGGCAAAUGUACAUAAGUUUUAAAUAUAAGUAAUUAAUCAAAUUAAUUAAGCCAGGUAUGAUAAAAGAGACCGUGCUAAAUUCACGAAAUCCGAAAAUGCCUAACACCUUCUUCCGGGUUAACAGAAUUCCUUACCCGGUCUUUUAAUUUUCGCAGACUUUAAAACAGAGUCAUUUUCCUCGAUUUGGAAUUUUAAAAUAAACCAGUGAUUUGGG
RNAcentral lists this long non-coding RNA (1619 nucleotides) under Nicotiana tabacum (common tobacco). Its description in RNAcentral is "long non-coding RNA (NTAB_LNC006113)". The record is from RNAcentral. Lineage: Eukaryota; Viridiplantae; Streptophyta; Magnoliopsida; Solanales; Solanaceae.